Mirounga angustirostris (Northern elephant seal) is the source of this 3369-nucleotide long non-coding RNA. RefSeq lists it as uncharacterized. NCBI's taxonomy places the organism in Eukaryota, Metazoa, Chordata, Mammalia, Carnivora, Phocidae. The transcript has 4 exons. The record is from RefSeq and is a predicted model, not a curated record.
UUGACUUGGUGGAGUUGGCUGGCAGGGCAUUUGAGUGUUCUUUUUUUUCCUAGCUGCUCCGUGCUCGUUGCUAUGCAGCUGUGUUCUUGUGAAGAGAAAGUGUGCGUGUCUGUUUUUCUUCAGAGAAGCAUACGGAGCCUUUCUAAGGGCGGCUGGGUCUUACUUGUGAUGUGCCAGUAAUGGAUGGAGUUGCUGUGGUCAGCAGUGCCUACACUGCAGGAUGACUCUGUUUGGGACUCUGAUUGGGACUCCGAUUGGGACUGAGAUGGAUGAGGGCCCUCGUUGUGUGCUUGGAGCCCUUUCUACCUUGACUACUGUUAGAACUUCUCUUUCUCCUUGAAGGUGGAUGAGCAGGACGAUGCUGAUUUCACCAAUGAAAUAGCUAAGAAGAGCACAAAAGCAGACAUUUCAAAGCAUUCCAGACCUAAAAGGAAAAGAAGGUCCUGGAAUGUUCAGAAGACCCGCCCGAAGCAAUCCCUCAGACCCUGAGGGAGGAAGAGUCCAUAUGAACCACACUAAAAGUUAGAAUUUAUUGUAUAUCAAGAUACCUGGAGUGCUCCCCAAGAAGACUGCUCACCUGAUCGGUUUACUGAACGCGAACAAAGAAAUUGAGGAUAUUUUCCCUUCAACAGAAGAGAUGGUGGAGCUAGUAUGUAGCAUUCCAGUUACAUACUUCCAAUACACUAGGAGAGAGGCCACUGGAAUCUUCCUUUAAUUCUGAUGUCAUGGCGGAAAGCUUAGAGGCCCAUCCAUCUCUACUUUUGGACGGCUAAGGGGCACAUGAUAAGGAACCUCACUUCCUUUGCAUCUAACUUCAGGGACAUAUGACAGGACAUAACAGAUAUAUCCUUGUUGCUGUUCAGCAACACCGAAACCAGUGAGGGUUCAAUCAAAUCAGGAAAACAGAACGUCUAAGUGGUCUGGAUUCAGGUUGUCUCCCACAACGGAAAAAGAUGUUGAGGAAGUGAAGGUCCAGAAGAGGGCGCGAGAGGAUCAGCUAAAGCAUAUGAAUGGGUCUUCCUGAAGUCCCGGUGUGGGCGGGGGACAUGGGGGCAGCCCAGUCUGAGGACUCCACAGGCAAGAGGCUAUGGCAGGGCAGAGGAAAGAGCCGACCAGAUGAAUUGGGUGCCAGGGGUGGGGGCGGUGGACCACAUGUGAGCCCCCAGGAGAGAGGGCUGUUCUGGAGCCGCUUUAAGUCCUGUUCGAGAGGACUCUGCAGCAGGGGGUGGACUCCUGAAUUUACAGGGACAGAAGGACCGAACAUGCCCGCCAGAGGAACGUGUAUUGCUGCCAUCUCUGUAAGUGUAGACAGUUGUUCUCAGGCUAGACUGAAGUACCACACAGGCCAGCCAAGGAAGGGAAUCCGCUUUGUUCUUCCCUCCCAGCUGGGGGGUAACUGCAGACACCUGCAAUGAGAAACCAGCACCAGAUUACACUUAUUCUGCCUUCUACCUUUCUUCUUUCCUCUGCUCCAAACCCAGAGGGACCUAAAUCAGAGUCAGAAAACCAGCUGGGAGAAGAAGCAGUGAGGGAGGGAAAUAAAAAAGAAGUUCAAUAUAGCCCCAUUAUAGCCUUCUGAGCUUGUCAAACCUAGGAGGGGCAGGAUGAUUUCACUUUAAAUAAAAUUCAGACUUUUAGAAAAUUGCACUUGGCUGGGUACAUUUAUUACUAUUCUUAUGCUUGAAAGUGAAGGGAAGUCCUCUUAUUCUCUAAUAGUGAUUGAAGACGUGGACUUUAUCAGAGAUUUCAUACAGGGACAGGCAAAGAACUCAGCUCACAGAGUAAGCUCACUUGGCAGUAAGGCAAAGAAUAAAGUUAUUUUCUGAUUGAGUCGUAAGGGUCUUGAUUGUUCAGCUUAGCAGUUACCUGCCUUGGUUAAAAAGAAAAAAUCAAGCAGCACAUAGUAGGCAAACCAGCUUAUCUUGACUUCAUUUACUUUAAAGACAAGCAGAAGAAAGGACUUUCUGAGUAUUUGGAAGAUUUCGCUGAAGGAAGCGGAUAUGGCUGUGAGUAGUUUUGAAAGUAUCAGAUGUUACAAAAUUGAGUCUUGUGGCAGAAGGCAAACUUGUUCAGUGGUGCUGGGGCUACUGCCAUGCCUUCAGUCACCUCUUUUUGUACGUUUCCCGAAAGUGACUUUGCCUGUUUGAGGCUUGGCUAGGGUGUAGCUAAGCCUAUGGCAGGAGUCUUUUAUUGCUUUGUGGAUUUCAAAGAGUCUAUUGUUUUGCUGUUCGCAUCUUUCUCAGCCUGAAAAAUUCUUGCAGUUGAGUUGAAAUGUCUGUUUUCUACUCAAGAAGGUAGAAAAUGAGAUCACAGGGUAAUGUCACCAUUCUAAAUUAUUUAAAUUCCAAUCUCCUUUUGCCUGAAUUUAUAAACUUCCACAUGCUAGUGAACUCUCAGUAUAGGGUUGAAAACGAUAUGGCUUAGUCAAAAUAGGAUAUAAAAUCUUGGACAUAAAAAUAGGAAUAGAAAUAAACUGGAAGAUGACUUUAAAAUAACCUUAAUUUCUACUCAACCCCUGGAGGUGAUUCUAAUUCUUUUUUUUAACCCUAACCAUAAUCCUCUGAAUAAUCUCUAGGAAAGGACUGAUUCUCAUUACUAUAAAUGUUUUAGUUAGACUUUGUUUUCAAAUGCAAAGAAAUUCUGAGAAUGAAGCAUUUUGUUGAACUAAAAUUGUAUUGCUGGUGCUUAUAAGCAUUGGUUUCUAGUCUUGCACUAAGUAUCUCUCCAGGAGUGAAUCUAAAGCGACCACGUGAGAAAAAUCCUGGAAAACUGGUUCACCUGUGUUCAGGAUCCCAUGAGAGGAGGGUACUUGCAGGGUUAAAAUACUGAUAAAGCUGCUUGUGGUAUCUCCAGCGUGCAGGUCUACCCUUAAAUCCAGACCAAGGAGCUUACCAGGCUUUCGCCCAAGACUAUAACCCCAAAUUGCCCUAGUCUAGGCUUUUAAAAAUGCCCAUUUGAAGGAAGCAUCUAUUAGGAAACACCGUAUUAGGGAAAUAAUUGACAUCAACUCCUCAGCAGGCUUUAAGUUGUGUCCUUGAGUCGGGUUCUAUGGCUGAAAAGCAAUGUACUUGACCAUCAGCUUUGCCCUUUCCAGACGCCCUCCCUGUGCUGCAGUGUAAUGGGAUGUUCUCCGUUUUUAUGGAGGUCGCAACAAGAGAGAAGCAUAGGAAAUUUGCUCCUUCAUUUACUCUGACACCGUCUAUUACAUUAUUUAAUGUGCCCUAUAUAAAUCCUCAUAUGAGACAUUCUUUUAGAAUUUGGUUCUAAGGAAAAAAAAAUAUCUCCCCUGAGGAACUCACUGCUAAAUACCUUUCUUUCUGUUAUAGGAACUUACUAUGAUUUAUCUGGUUACAUUUUAUUCUCAUGGUU